UACGAGGGGUGCAAGCGUUGCUCGGAAUUAUUGGGCGUAAAGGGUAGGUAGGUGGUCUUAUUUGUCUGGGGUGAAAGCCUUGAGCUUAACUCAAGAAGUGCCCCAGAAACGGUAAGACUGGAGUCCUGGAGAGGCUAGCGGAAUUCCCGGUGUAGCGGUGAAAUGCGUAGAGAUCGGGAGGAACACCAGAGGCGAAGGCGGCUAGCUGGACAGGCACUGACACUCAACUACGAAAGCGUGGGGAGCAAACAGG
RNAcentral lists this ribosomal RNA (253 nucleotides) under uncultured bacterium. Its description in RNAcentral is "partial 16S ribosomal RNA". It matches the Rfam family "Bacterial small subunit ribosomal RNA", at positions 524 to 776 of the family's 1533-position model. The record is from RNAcentral.